UGCUGGCAUGCCCCCAAGUUCAGGUUUAUAUUCUCUGAGUCAGCCUACCUGGUAAGUGUACCUGCUACCCACCAGUUCCGGGAGGCUGGUUCUGGAAUUGCUUACAGUCAGAUGGAGGGGAAAUAUCUCUGAGGAAACCAUAGCAGUUGAACACAAUCACAAAUGGAAUAGGAGACCUUGCUGCAGCAUUGCUAUGAGACAAAGGAGACUUCCUCUUGCAAAUGGAAGACAAAGCUGCAGUCCUUCUACAGCCCUGGUAUGGGAUAUCAACACCAGCCUGUGCUUCUCACAUGAGGAAGGCAUGGGUUGACUAAUCACUUCAAAAGCUUAAUGCAGAAGAACCUUUCUGGGACUUCUAGAGGAGGAACUGGACCUGGUUAUUAAUCCCCAGAGACCAACUGUAUCAAAAACAUGGAGUGCUUGCAGUUCUGCAGUGGAAACAGGAUUCAUGUUUCUGGUAAGCUGUCCCUCAAGACACUGCCAACGAUCAACAAGCUGGAAAGAAGACUGAAAAAGGCAGUAGUAGCCUAAAAGUGGAUGUUUCCUGAGGAUGAGAAGCUGAAAGAUAGGGUUGCCUAGGAAGGCUUUAACUCUAUUUCCAGGCAUGCAGUGGCCUGGAAACUCUCAAGAAGGGACUUGCUGUGAUGUGGGGUCUUUAAACAGGGAGAGGUGAAGUCUGUUAUAUAGGCAAGUACUGCAAACAAAUAUACUUGGUGUAAUACAGAGCUUGGUGUACAUUUGUACCUUCAUCUGUGUGAGCAUAGGAGGCUCAGCUUCAAGGAUCAAAGCUAGAGUCAAGCCUUGAAGCUGACUUGCUGGUAAUCCUUAAUCAAUUUCUGGUGGGUAUCAGGAGGAAAUGCUGCUCACAGUAACUGAGCUGUUGUGUGAUAGCUGAGAGCUAGAAAGUUUCGUCUGUCCUACUGCUUGAUUCCU
This 933-nucleotide long non-coding RNA is filed under the name Gallus gallus (chicken). Its description in RNAcentral is "long non-coding RNA NONGGAT002773". The record is from RNAcentral. Lineage: Eukaryota; Metazoa; Chordata; Aves; Galliformes; Phasianidae.